This 505-nucleotide ribosomal RNA is filed under the name uncultured bacterium. Its description in RNAcentral is "bacterial SSU rRNA". It matches the Rfam family "Bacterial small subunit ribosomal RNA", at positions 19 to 518 of the family's 1533-position model. The record is from RNAcentral.
CUGGCUCAGGAUGAACGCUAGCGACAGGCUAACACAUGCAAGUCGAGGGCAGCACGGAGUAGCAAUACAACUGGUGGCGACCGGCGCACGGGUGAGUAACGCGUAUGCAACCUACCUAUCAGAGGGGAAUAACCCGGCGAAAGUCGGACUAAUACCGCAUAAAACAGGGGCACCGCAUGGUGAUAUUUGUUAAAGAGAUUCGCUGAUAGAUGGGCAUGCGUUCCAUUAGGUAGUUGGUGAGGUAACGGCUCACCAAGCCGACGAUGGAUAGGGGAACUGAGAGGUUGGUCCCCCACACUGGUACUGAGACACGGACCAGACUCCUACGGGAGGCAGCAGUGAGGAAUAUUGGUCAAUGGGCGGGAGCCUGAACCAGCCAAGUCGCGUGAAGGAAGAAGGAUCUAUGGUUCGUAAACUUCUUUUGCAGGGGAAUAAAGUGCAGGACGUGUCCUGUUUUGUAUGUACCCUGAGAAUAAGGAUCGGCUAACUCCGUGCCAGCCGCCGC